AUACAUGCACUAAAGCUGUUCCUUUGGGGCAGUGCAUUUAUUGGAGCAAAACCAGGCGGCUUCGGCCGUUUUUGGUGAGCCAGAAUAACUAAGCUGAUCGCAUGGGCUUGUCCCGGCGACGUGUCUUUCAAGUGUCUGCCUUAUCAACUUUCGAUGGUAGUGUACGGGACUACCAUGGUUGUGACGGGUAACGGAGGAUAAGGGUUCGACUCCGGAGAAGGGGCCUGAGAAAUGGCCACUACGUCUAAGGAUGGCAGCAGGCGCGCAAAUUACCCACUCUCAGUUCGAGGAGGUAGUGACGAAAAAUAACGAGGUCGUUCUCAAUCGAGGCCGACCAUCGGAAUGGGUACAAUUUAAACCCUUUAACGAGUAUCAAUGAGAGGGCAAGUCUGGUGCCAGCAGCCGCGGUAAUUCCAGCUCUCAAAGUGCAUAGAACCAUUGCUGCGGUUAAAAAGCUCGUAGUUGGAUCUGUGCCGGUGAAGUGGUCUAUCUUCAGGGAUAGUACUGCUCUCAUUGGCUUUGGGCCGGUCUUCGUGCUGGGUAGCCUUCACGGGUUGCUUGGCAUGGCUGGCUGGUUUACUUUGAGCAAAUCAGAGUGCUCAGCACAGGCGUUUCGCCGGAAUGUUCGUGCAUGGAAUAAUAGAACAGGAUUUCGGUCCUCUUUUAUUGGUUUUGUGGACUGAGAUAAUGAUUAAUAGAGACGAGCGGGGGCAUUCGUAUUGCUGCGCUAGAGGUGAAAUUCUUGGACCGCAGCAGGACGAACUACAGCGAAAGCAUUUGCCAAGUGCGUCUUCAUUAAUCAAGAACGAAAGUCAGAGGUUCGAAGGCGAUCAGAUACCGCCCUAGUCUGACCCGUAAAAA
RNAcentral lists this ribosomal RNA (861 nucleotides) under Gracilacus audriellus. RNAcentral describes it as "bacterial SSU rRNA". It matches the Rfam family "Eukaryotic small subunit ribosomal RNA", at positions 167 to 1038 of the family's 1831-position model. Lineage: Eukaryota; Metazoa; Nematoda; Chromadorea; Rhabditida; Tylenchulidae. The record is from RNAcentral.